This 1443-nucleotide ribosomal RNA is filed under the name metagenome. RNAcentral's name for it is "bacterial SSU rRNA". It matches the Rfam family "Bacterial small subunit ribosomal RNA". The record is from RNAcentral.
AGAGUUUGAUCCUGGCUCAGGAUGAACGCUGGCGGCGUGCUUAACACAUGCAGGUCGAACGAGCCUUCGGGCGAGUGGCGGACGGGUGAGUAACGCGUGGGAAUCUGCCCUCAGGAGGGGGAUAACGGCUGGAAACGGCCGCUAAUACCCCAUAUGCCGAGAGGUGAAAUGAAUUUCGCCUGAGGAUGAGCCCGCGUCUGAUUAGCUAGUUGGUGGGGUAAUGGCCCACCAAGGCGACGAUCAGUAGCUGGUCUGAGAGGAUGAUCAGCCACACUGGGACUGAGACACGGCCCAGACUCCUACGGGAGGCAGCAGUGGGGAAUUUUCCGCAAUGGGCGAAAGCCUGACGGAGCAACGCCGCGUGAGGGAUGAAGGCCUCUGGGCUGUAAACCUCUUUUCUCAAGGAAGAAGACAUGACGGUACUUGAGGAAUAAGCCACGGCUAAUUCCGUGCCAGCAGCCGCGGUAAUACGGGAGUGGCAAGCGUUAUCCGGAAUUAUUGGGCGUAAAGCGUCCGCAGGCGGCCUUGUAAGUCUGUCGUUAAAGCGUGGAGCUUAACUCCAUUUCAGCGAUGGAAACUACAAGGCUUGAGUGUGGUAGGGGCAGAGGGAAUCCCCGGUGUAGCGGUGAAAUGCGUAGAUAUCGGGAAGAACACCAGUGGCGAAGGCGCUCUGCUGGGCCAUAACUGACGCUCAUGGACGAAAGCCAGGGGAGCGAAAGGGAUUAGAUACCCCUGUAGUCCUGGCCGUAAACGAUGAACACUAGGUGUCGGGGGAAUCGACCCCCUCGGUGUCGUAGCUAACGCGUUAAGUGUUCCGCCUGGGGAGUACGCACGCAAGUGUGAAACUCAAAGGAAUUGACGGGGGCCCGCACAAGCGGUGGAGUAUGUGGUUUAAUUCGAUGCAACGCGAAGAACCUUACCAGGGUUUGACAUCCUGCGAAUCCCUUGGAAACGAGGGAGUGCCUUCGGGAGCGCAGAGACAGGUGGUGCAUGGCUGUCGUCAGCUCGUGUCGUGAGAUGUUGGGUUAAGUCCCGCAACGAGCGCAACCCACGUCUUUAGUUGCCAGCAUUCAGUUGGGCACUCUAGAGAGACCGCCGGUGAUAAACCGGAGGAAGGUGUGGAUGACGUCAAGUCAUCAUGCCCCUUACAUCCUGGGCUACACACGUACUACAAUGCUACGGACAAAGGGUUGCAAGCUCGCGAGAGUUAGCUAAUCCCAUAAACCGUGGCUCAGUUCAGAUCGUAGGCUGCAACUCGCCUACGUGAAGGAGGAAUCGCUAGUAAUCGCAGGUCAGCAUACUGCGGUGAAUACGUUCCCGGGCCUUGUACACACCGCCCGUCACACCAUGGAAGUUGGCCAUGCCCGAAGUCGUUACUCCAACCCUUGUGGAGGAGGACGCCGAAGGUGGGGCUGAUGACUGGGGUGAAGUCGUAACAAGGUA